Molecule: ribosomal RNA, 520 nt
Filed under: uncultured bacterium
Lineage: Bacteria
Description: bacterial SSU rRNA
Rfam family: Archaeal small subunit ribosomal RNA
Source: RNAcentral
AACCUCCGCAAUGUGAGAAAUCGCGACGGGGGGAUCCCAAGUGCCAUUCUUAACGGGAUGGCUUUUCAUUAGUGUAAAGAGCUUUUGGAAUAAGAGCUGGGCAAGACCGGUGCCAGCCGCCGCGGUAACACCGGCAGCUCUAGUGGUAACAAUUUUUAUUGGGCCUAAAGCGUCCGUAGCCGGUUUAAUAAGUCUCUGGUGAAAUCCUGUAGCUUAACUGUGGGAAUUGCUGGAGAUACUAUUAGACUUGAGACCGGGAGAGGUUAGAGGUACUCCCAGGGUAGAGGUGAAAUUCUGUAAUCCUGGGAGGACCGCCUGUUGCGAAGGCGUCUAACUGGAACGGUUCUGACGGUGAGGGACGAAAGUUAGGGGCGCGAACCGGAUUAGAUACCCGGGUAGUCCUAACUGUAAACGAUGCGACUUGGUGUUGGGGUGGCUUUGAGCUGCUCCAGUGCCGAAGGGAAGCUGUUAAGUCCGCCGCCUGGGAAGUACGGUCGCAAGACUGAAACUUAAAGGAAUU